AGUCAACAACUCUAAGCCUUGACUCCCAAAUUGUUCUAUUACAAUCCCUGAAGGAUUCCUAACUUCCUUGCCCAAAUUUAAAGGAUCAUGAUUUGGAAAGCUAAGAUAUGACUCCACUUCUUUAGAACAAAACUUCAUUUGUUGGCAAUCAAUAAUAAAACAUUCAUCUUUGACAUCAAAACUUUCAACAAUAACUCGAAUAAGGGGGAGAUAAAAGGCCCUAGCAAAGAUAUUUAAGAAGGGUUGGAAAAUUGCUUCCUCGAUCGCCCUCUUGUGUGCUUCUUUGUUUGACUAAAUUGAGCCUGCACAUGUUGUUCUUCCUUUAGCAUCAUUUUUGCUCCUUAACAUAUGUCCAAUUAAAGAAAUCAAGUCACAUAAGUGUAAUGUCAAAACAUAUUCUUGAAACAUCAAGUCGGAUGACUGAGAAUACAUGCAUGUGUUUGUCAUGUGACUUGAUGGUUUUGGAAUAUGUUUUGACAUUUAAGUGAUUUGAUUUCUUUAAUUGGACAUAUUUUAGGGAGCAAAAACGAUGCUGAAGGAAGGAAAAAAUAUGUAGGUUCAAUGCAGUCAAACAAAGAAGAGGACAAUUGAGGAACUGAUUUUUCAACCUUUCUUAAAUAUCUUUGUUAGGGCCUUUUACCUCCCCCAUAUUCAAGUUCUUGCUGAAAAUUUUUAUGCGAAAGAUAAAUGUUUUGUUAUUGAUCAACAACAAAUAAAGGUUUGUCCUAAAGAAGCAAAGUCAUGUCUUGGCUUUGCAUAUCAUGGUCAGUUAAAUUUUGACAAGGAAGUUAGGAAUCCUUUGAGGAAUGUAAUAGGACAAUUUAAGAGGCAAGGCUCAGCGCCCUUGGCUAAUGAAGAAGGAUCACUUGAAAAUAUUGCUUGGCAUGGAGUAAACGAUAAAGAAGAAAGAGGACUUUUUAAGGUUGUCUACAAUUUUUAUGUUUGAUGUCUACUUUUUUGACUCUAUUGAUAGAAUGGCGUCCUAUUGGCCUAUCACUUUCUUAGAGGAAGUAAAAGAUUUCUUAGAGGAUGAUUGGGAAAAACCACUUAUGAUUAUAUGAUAAAUUCAAUAAAGAAAGCAACUAGUGAAUGAUUUGGUAAGAGUACCUAUAAGAAGGGUUGUAUUCCAUUGCUUGAGGUAUGAUGACAAUUACAUAUUAAUAAAUUUUCAAAAUAUGAUAUUGUUGUUUUAAUGAAGUAUCAAAUGAUGCCAAAGGUUGGGGGGUCACUUGGCAACCGUGGGCUGCCCUUUGGGCGCCUACUGGAGGGCCACUUUGGUAGCCACCUUUGGCCCAAGCCCUUUUGUUUUUUGUUGGAUAGCCUGCUGCAGAUCGUUUUGCACGAUGUCAUUUGAGCCGUUGUUGUUGCCUUUAUCCUUUGCCAUCGCAGUCGUCCAAUUGCAUUAUUUAUCGCGCGCCUCGAGAUUGAUGAGAUGAUCGGGGAAGAUGAAGAAAAAGAGGGGGGUGGCUGAGAGUGUUUAUUUUUAGGGUUUUAUUCUCUCUCUCUGUGUAAAUCCUUUGUACAGUCUUCGUCUUCAUCUUUGUUCAUAUGUGUUCUCUGGUUCGUUUAGGGUAAGCUCCUAACCUGUAUUAAGUGAUUUUGAGCGUUUUAUUUGGGGAACCAGGGUUGUCUAGUUUGGUCUUGGUUUUUUGUAUGGGUGUAAUUGGAUUUAUUCAUAUAGUGGAGCGAGCUCUUCUCACCGGAGCUCAAGUGGAUGUAGCCCCUCUUUGGGGUGAAUCACUAUAAAUCUCGUGCCUUUUGUUACGUUUUGUUUUUGAUAUCUGCUGUGUUUAUGUUUGUACUCUCGGCCAUUUGAGUUUUAUUAAGCAGUGUGUGAUUUUGACUUGAGCGAGGGUUUGCUAUCUCUGUUUUAUUCAUAACAGAUAUUAUAUUUAAUUUUCUUUUAAACGUCUUUUAGGCACUGAUGUAUCAAAAGUUGUAGCAUUUUGGAGGCACAAGUGCAUACUAAAUUGUCAAGCCCGUAUAUUAUUAACUACAAAGAAGAGAAUACUAGGCACGUUAGCAACCUACAAUAGAUGAUUUCUUAAGCCAAGCUCAAGCAAGUAAUAUUUCAAAUCAUUAUGUUUAAUAAUCUUUUUUAAGUUACAUUAAAAGGAUAAAACAAUUUUAUUUUUAAUUUAUUCUUUUGUAGGUGAAUAAUGCAGUAGUUUUGCCAAAAUGAAAGGAGUGCGACAAGGGGUUGAACCAAUAGAAGGUGAAACAAUAAUAUCUCAAAUACUAAAGUUUGCAUUUUCUUUGAUCUUGCUAUCUUUAAACUUUUGUUGUUUGCGUCGACAUAUAGAAGAAGGGCAACAGGAAGGAGUGGUGUCAAAAAAGAUGUUUAAAAAGUCAGUUGAUUGUGUAACCAUGAUAUUUGUUUGAAGUUUUGCUGGCCACAUAAGAGACAUUGCAAAAGAGGAGGCCAAAAAAUAUUCACUGUUCCAAUUGGGGUUAGAGGCGCUCUCUGCAAAUCGAAUGAUUUUGAAAAGGAAAUAAUAAACUUUGAGCACAUGUUUAACAAAGCUUAGGACAUAAAUUUCUUUGGGUGUUUUCUUAUUUAUGUUAUGAUUUGUUAUACUUUGAAACUGAGACCAAUUGCAUUUGUUUUUCCUACAUGUUUUAUGUCUUUUGUCAGUGGUAAGAGGAGAAGGGACAACAAAAAUGUAGGAAAUGAAUGAAACUUAUUUAGUUUCUUUUUACAUAGUGCGUACAUCUCUUGGUCAAAACUUUAAAUGUCCUAGUAGCAUUAUCAAGUCGUCAUAUAGCUUACCUAUACAACUUGACUUCUUGGGUGCAAAAGGUGAAAUCCCUCACCUUAAGGGCCCCCCACACACUGCCCCACGCACGUGGGAGGAGUUAAUCACGGUACACAACAACGCACCAGAUGGGAGGCAUAGUGUAUGGUGCCCACAAGGAGCCACCCCCAUAGGAGGGUGAAACUCCCACACUGCAGCUGCCAUGACUCAAACCUGCAUCAUUGGGUGCAAUCUGCUACCUGAGAACCAACCGUGCUAUGCCCGUGGGGGCUAUACAACUUGACUUCUUCAUGAUCGUGUUGUAGUUCCUGACUAUAACUUUUGGAUAUCAUAUCCAGGAGAUUCCAUCAAAUGCACCUUUUAGUUUGAUUAAUGAGUGUUGUAAAGUUUGGAACACCAAACACAUCUUUCAUUACGAGGACCACGAAUCUUGUGAAGGAUAUAAUUGACCCCGUUGCAUUACUUGGAACAGUUUGCACAAGUAAGCUAAGCAGGAUAUUUGCUGAGUACUUGAGUGAAGAUCAAAUGCUUGCUGUGGUUUGUAGCUCCGAGGUAUGCGCUUCAAUAAAGGAAGGGAAAAAAAGUUCUUUUCUUGAUACAUCUCCAUUUCGUGUACUGUUUUGUACUGUUUGGAACCAAAGGAAAUAGAGAUCUUUUGAGUCAGACGAAUUCCCCUCUCCCAUUGUUAGGGAUACAUAGCUGUAUCUUUUUCGUUUUGAUAAUAUUAACGUUUAUAUUAUGCUGUAGCAUAUUCUCUGGAAUCCGAAGCAUAAUUUGUGCAGUAAGCACUUGAAGUAAUAAUGUAAAGCCAAUAUGUAGCCUGAAUCACUGUCUAGUAAUUUCAUUCUUCCUGCUCUGCAUCAAGUCCUUGAAGUUUUUAGCCUUUGGAUGACAAGGUGAUUCUGGCCUCCUUCCUUCAACUAUGAUGUCCACUAUAUGGACUCUUGAUUUGGUUUUCAAAAAAUCGAACAGUAAUCUCCAGUAAGAACUUGAUUGUGACAUGUAAAGUGACUCCUUAGCUUAUCUUGUUUUGUGGUAGUUGCAUAUUCUCUGCCCCAUCCUGCUGUGUCAAUUUCUAAUUUCAACUGAUGACAAAGCAGUUUUUAAGCAAGAGUUUCAAAGAGGGAGCUCAGAGUUACAUCCAUGGUUGGUUUCUGUCUUCAAUUAUUUGUGUUUCGAAUAUUGGUUCUACAGCAAUCUAUUUCAGGUGCCAGGUAUCUGUAACCGUGCUGCCGGUUCCAACUGGGAAAUAUAGUUUUCCAAGUUGUCAACUACGAGGGCAUGUCAUGUUGAUGGGGAUAUUGAUAAUAUGAAAAAAAUUGGCGAGUCUUGUAUGCUUACACUAAAGUCAGAUUUAUUUAUCUCAGAAGAUACUAUCUGGUAUACUUUCAGGCACGGUUUCUGUACUGUUCCUGCUAAUCCCCUCCUUGCGAUUGAAGGGAGCUUCUGUUUUUGGUGGCCACUCACUCCUGUUACCCGGAACUUCAAUUGAGCGUUAAGAGUUCUGUCAUGCAAGCUCCAAUGUUGGAGCAUGAGAGUUCUAGUCUCCAUGUUCGGAUGGAAAGUCCUUGUAGGUCCUGUUGCCCCAGGAGUGGGGAACCUCAUAUCCUCCAUUGUGAAUAAUGAGAGGGUACAACAAAAUAUUUAAAAAGUUAUAUUGCUUCUCUGAUGGACUUGAGGAUAAUAUUUACAGGUACGGUGAGCAAAUUGGAUAUUUUGAAAGGGCACAAGUGCUUAAUGAUCAGAAGACAGAAAUUGAGCCAGUCAUGCGCCGCAAGGUUCUGAAUUACUUGCAGGAUUGUUCUUCUGUUAGUUCUCCUCCAUUGAAUGGACUAAAAUUUAACAAUGUAAAAAAAUUUAAUGGUGACAGGUUAUCUAUUUGACCUUUUAUACUCUUAAUACUCUGAAAAAGGGUUGUGUGAAUGAAGUUUUGCGCCAAAGAGUUAUUGAGUUAUUCAAUAACUUUAUGAUUAAACUGGAAUUUCAUCCUUAUGUAAACCCAUUG
Diospyros lotus (date-plum) is the source of this 4761-nucleotide long non-coding RNA. RefSeq lists it as uncharacterized. The transcript has 3 exons. The record is from RefSeq and is a predicted model, not a curated record. NCBI's taxonomy places the organism in Eukaryota, Viridiplantae, Streptophyta, Magnoliopsida, Ericales, Ebenaceae.